UGUCUCUGGUGUCUCCUCACUUGCGGAUAAAUCAUUCGCCUUUUACUAAAGAUUUCCGUCGAGAGGCACAAUACAUUGAGUCUUAUCUCAUUUUUUUUCAGCUCUGUUUUAGGAUAGAGUU
This 121-nucleotide small nuclear RNA is filed under the name Trichobilharzia regenti. RNAcentral's name for it is "U5 spliceosomal RNA". It matches the Rfam family "U5 spliceosomal RNA". Rfam says of the family: U5 RNA is a component of both types of known spliceosome. The precise function of this molecule is unknown, though it is known that the 5' loop is required for splice site selection and p220 binding, and that both the 3' stem-loop and the Sm site are important for Sm protein binding and cap methylation. The record is from Rfam by way of RNAcentral. Lineage: Eukaryota; Metazoa; Platyhelminthes; Trematoda; Strigeidida; Schistosomatidae.